UUUUCUGAUGUGUGUGUUUACUAAGUGUCAAUAAAAACUCUGUUCUUAUCAGCUUAAUAUCUGAUACGGAUCAUAUUUGAAUCCAAGAUAAUAAACUUAUAAUUGUGAUGCGGCGAAGUGCUUCAACCUUGCUUCGCCUUCGCCACGGCUUGGCCCGGUAUUGCACUACCUCCGGGAUUGCCCCACUCACC
Small nuclear RNA from Rhipicephalus microplus (southern cattle tick), 191 nucleotides. RefSeq annotates it as U2 spliceosomal RNA. NCBI's taxonomy places the organism in Eukaryota, Metazoa, Arthropoda, Arachnida, Ixodida, Ixodidae. The record is from RefSeq and is a predicted model, not a curated record.